Molecule: ribosomal RNA, 846 nt
Filed under: uncultured archaeon
Lineage: Archaea
Description: bacterial SSU rRNA
Rfam family: Archaeal small subunit ribosomal RNA
Source: RNAcentral
AGUUGUAGAAUCACUGGUGAAUAAGGGGUGGGCAAGUUCUGGUGUCAGCCGCCGCGGUAAAACCAGCACCUCGAGUGGUCAGGAGGUUUAUUGGGCCUAAAGCAUCCGUAGCCGGUUGCAUAAGUUUUCGGUUAAAUCUAUGCGCUUAACGUAUAGGCCGCCGAAAAUACUGUGCAGCUAGGGAGUGGGAGAGGUACACGGUACUCGAUAGGAAGGGGUAAAAUCCUUUGAUCUAUUGAUGACCACCUGUGGCGAAGGCGGUGUACCAGAACACGUUCGACGGUGAGGGAUGAAAGCUGGGGGAGCAACCCGGAUUAGAUACCCGGGUAGUCCCAGCUGUAAACGAUGCAGACUCGGUGAUGCAUUGGCUUGUGGCCAAUGCAGUGCCGCAGGGAAGCCGUUAAGUCUGCCGCCUGGGAAGUACGUACGCAAGUAUGAAACUUAAAGGAAUUGGCGGGGGAGCACCACAAGGGGUGAAGCCUGCGGUUCAAUUGGAGUCAACGCCAGAAAUCUUACCUGGGGAGACAGCAGAAUGAAGGUCAAGCUGAAGACUUUACCAGACACGCUGAGAGGUGGUGCAUGGCCGUCGCCAGCUCGUGCCGUGAGAUGUCCUGUUAAGUCAGGUAACGAGCGAGACCCCUGCGUCUAGUUGCUACCAUUACUCUCUGGAGCAGUGGAGCGAAUUAGACGGACCGCCACAGUUAAUGUGGAGGAAGGAAGGGGCCACGGCAGGUCAGUAUGCCCCGAAACCCUAGGGCUACACGCGGGCUGCAAUGGUAUUGACAUGUGUUCCGAAUCCGAAAGGAGGAGGCAAUCAUCAAACAUAUCUCAGUUAUGACUGAGGGC